GCUCUCUGGCUUGUAACUGACGCUGAGGCUCGAAAGCGUGGGGAGCAAACAGGAUUAGAUACCCUGGUAGUCCACGCUGUAAACGAUGAGUGCUAGGUGUUAGACCCUUUCCGGGGUUUAGUGCCGUAGCUAACGCAUUAAGCACUCCGCCUGGGGAGUACGACCGCAAGGUUGAAACUCAAAGGAAUUGACGGGGGCCCGCAC
RNAcentral lists this ribosomal RNA (204 nucleotides) under Streptococcus pneumoniae. RNAcentral describes it as "partial 16S ribosomal RNA". It matches the Rfam family "Bacterial small subunit ribosomal RNA", at positions 724 to 926 of the family's 1533-position model. Lineage: Bacteria; Bacillati; Bacillota; Bacilli; Lactobacillales; Streptococcaceae. The record is from RNAcentral.